This 73-nucleotide transfer RNA is filed under the name Cordylochernes scorpioides. Its description in RNAcentral is "tRNA-Thr". Lineage: Eukaryota; Metazoa; Arthropoda; Arachnida; Pseudoscorpiones; Chernetidae. The record is from RNAcentral.
CAGGGAUGGGAAUCGAACCCAUAGUGUUCCGCUUACCGGGCAGAUGCCAUAUCCACUAGGCGUUAUUUCUCCU